CAAUAGCGUAUAUUAACGUUGUUGCAGUUAAAAAGCUCGUAGUUGAAUUUCUGAUGCGAUGAACCUUCCUUUAACCUUUCGGUUAUUGCGAGUGGUUGUAUUGUCAUCAUCUUUGUGGAGAGAUUUUCUGGUAUUCAUUUAUCGGACUAUGGAUCCACAUCUUUUACUGUGAAAAAAUUAGAGUGUUUAAAGCAGGCAUUUCGCUUCUGAAUACAUUAGCAUGGAAUAAUAAGAUAGGAUCUCGAGUACUAUUUUGUUGGUUUGUAUACCGAGAUAAUGAUUAACAGGGACAGUUGGGGGUAUUCGUAUUUAAUUGUCAGAGGUGAAAUUCUUGGAUUUACGGAAGACGAACUACUGCGAAAGCAUUUACCAAGGAUGUUUUCAUUAA
RNAcentral lists this ribosomal RNA (388 nucleotides) under uncultured eukaryote. Its description in RNAcentral is "partial 18S ribosomal RNA". It matches the Rfam family "Eukaryotic small subunit ribosomal RNA", at positions 592 to 976 of the family's 1831-position model. The record is from RNAcentral.